This 253-nucleotide ribosomal RNA is filed under the name uncultured bacterium. RNAcentral's name for it is "partial 16S ribosomal RNA". It matches the Rfam family "Bacterial small subunit ribosomal RNA", at positions 524 to 776 of the family's 1533-position model. The record is from RNAcentral.
UACGAAGGUGGCGAAUGUUGUUCGGAUUUACUGGGCGUAAAGCGUCCGCAGGUGGUUUACUAAGUCAGGUGUGAAAGCCCCGCGCUCAACGUGGGAAUUGCACUUGAAACUGGUAAACUAGAAGGUGAGAGAGGUGGAUGGAAUUACCGGUGUAGCAGUGAAAUGCGUAGAUAUCGGUAGGAACACCCAUGGCGAAGGCAGUUCACUGGCUCACUCUUGACACUCAUGGACGAAAGCGUGGGGAGCAAACAGG